UGAAAGUUAGGAGCUGAAAACACCUAACCAGAAGCUGAUACACCAACAGCUGGUGAGAGGAAACCAAGGUUACUGUACAACCUUGAAACUUGAACUAAACAGGUCAAACUGAUUAGACAUCUCUCUACAACACAUAAAGGUGUUUUCGAGACACACAAACCUGAAACAUACCCAAAGAGGCAAGGCUAACCCUGCAAGCAACAUCGGGGAAGGAUAAGCUUAUCAAGACUAGAAGGUGCAAAGCUGGCAUGAGGCUCCCUUGGGCAGAGCAACAUAAAAGGAGGGUCUUGUUCCAUCCCAAAGUAAGUCAAUCUCUCUCACUCUCACUCUAAAACUCUUAUCCUUUCAUUUCGCUUAGACUCUUAAGAUCAUCCUACUGAUUCUCAUGCCGAAGUCCAAACGCGGGAGGCCACCUCUCGCGUUAAGACUAACGGUGUUCUUUGAUUGCAGAUUUCAACAAAGGAGCUACCUUUUGGAGUUAAUAGUGGACCCUUCCCCCUGACAUAUUCUUGUUACUUUCACAAGUGGCGCCCACCAUCGGGCUGCACUACUUAGAACAAUUUUUCCGGUAGUAUAGCCUUGUUCCUAAGUUACAUUCUCUUAUGGCUGGAAAUGAUCAUUAUCCAAAGGAAGUUUCAAGCAGUUCCUUGUCUCGGUCUAGUCCUCCGGCUACUCCCGGAGUAGGUAGUUGUUUCAAAGGGCGAACCAUCGAAUAAUUUGAUUUGAAAGUGAUUACACGCCUCUUAGAUCAUCCAAUGUAAUCUCGAGAAUUUUACGGAGAUCUGACGGCGCGUCGCAGCAAAUGCAGAAGAAUUCCGAUCUCCGAUGGCUGGCUCUUUCUUAGUUGGUUGUUCCUUCAGACUCGUGUAAUAUUUCAUUAUUCUUGCUUACUAAAAGUGAGUUUGAUUUCUCUAUAGCGAUUAAUCAGGGGUACGUGCCUUGAUAUAACAUGAAGAGAUUUAUACACAAGGAGAAAUGAAAAGGAGAUGAUCAUGUUCUGUAUAUCUUUGUGUUUAUGUUGACAUAACCAUGACAUCUCUGAUCAAUGUAUGAAAUGUUAGAUUAAACAGAUUAAAUACAACUGGAAUUCUACGAAACAUUAAGCAUAAAUGAAAAUGCAAAAUAUCUCCUGGCAAAUUUUUA
Molecule: long non-coding RNA, 1143 nt
Filed under: Helianthus annuus (common sunflower)
Lineage: Eukaryota; Viridiplantae; Streptophyta; Magnoliopsida; Asterales; Asteraceae
Description: hypothetical non coding rna
Source: RNAcentral